CAGUAGCCGCGGUAAUACAGAGGGUGCGAGCGUUAAUCGAAUUUACUGGGCGUAAAGCGUGCGUAGGCGGCUUCUUAAGUCGGAUGUGAAAUCCCUGAGCUUAACUUAGGAAUUGCAUUCGAUACUGGGAAGCUAGAGUAUGGGAGAGGAUGGUAGAAUUCCAGGUGUAGCGGUGAAAUGCGUAGAGAUCUGGAGGAAUACCGAUGGCGAAGGCAGCCAUCUGGCCUAAUACAGACGCUGAGGUACGAAAGCAUGGGGAGCAAACAGGAUUAGAUACCCCGGUAGUCCCUGUCUCUUAUAC
RNAcentral lists this ribosomal RNA (301 nucleotides) under uncultured bacterium. RNAcentral describes it as "partial 16S ribosomal RNA". It matches the Rfam family "Bacterial small subunit ribosomal RNA", at positions 509 to 807 of the family's 1533-position model. The record is from RNAcentral.